AUACGGGGGGGGCAAGCGUUGUUCGGAAUUACUGGGCGUAAAGGGCGCGUAGGCGGUUUCGGAAGUCAAGGGUGAAAGCCCCGAGCUCAACUCGGGAAUUGCCUUUGAAACCACGGAACUAGAGUGUUGGAGAGGAAAGCGGAAUUUCCAGUGUAGCGGUGAAAUGCGUAGAUAUUGGAAGGAACAUCUGAGGCGAAGGCGGCUUUCUGGACAGACACUGACGCUGAGGCGCGAAAGCCAGGGGAGCGAACGGGAUUAGAUACCCCGGUAGUCCUGGCUGUAAACGAUGAACACUUGGUGUGGGGGGUAUAAAGUCCCUCCGUGCCGUAGAUAACUCGAUAAGUGUUCCGCCUGGGGAGUACGGCCGCAAGGCUGAA
This 377-nucleotide ribosomal RNA is filed under the name uncultured bacterium. RNAcentral's name for it is "bacterial SSU rRNA". It matches the Rfam family "Bacterial small subunit ribosomal RNA", at positions 523 to 898 of the family's 1533-position model. The record is from RNAcentral.